GGGCAAUUAACUCAGCUGGUAGAGUGCUUCCGUCACAUGGAAGAAGUCAGGGGUUCGAGUCCCUUAUUGCCCACCA
Molecule: transfer RNA, 76 nt
Filed under: Faecalibacterium sp. CAG:1138
Lineage: Bacteria; Bacillati; Bacillota; Clostridia; Eubacteriales; Oscillospiraceae
Also listed under: 4 other names
Description: transfer RNA-Val(CAC)
Rfam family: tRNA
About the family: Transfer RNA (tRNA) molecules are approximately 80 nucleotides in length. Their secondary structure includes four short double-helical elements and three loops (D, anti-codon, and T loops).
Source: RNAcentral